Long non-coding RNA from Columba livia (rock pigeon), 20496 nucleotides. RefSeq lists it as uncharacterized. NCBI's taxonomy places the organism in Eukaryota, Metazoa, Chordata, Aves, Columbiformes, Columbidae. The transcript has 13 exons. The record is from RefSeq and is a predicted model, not a curated record.
GUUUUGGUUUUUUGUUUGUUUUUUUUUUUUUUGUUGGUUGGUUGGUUGGUUGGUUGUUUUUUUUGAGGUAUGUUAGAAUGUAAGAUGCUGGAAGUACAAAGAUGAGUUUCCAAAGCGGGGAGCACUGCUGCAUUGCUGGAAACCAAGGCUCUGUAGUGUCGAUAGGUGGUGCAAGUUUGCUGCGGCUUCUGGAAAGCUGGAGCAUUUUUCCAAAGUGUGCGUGUUAAGCUAGUAGUGGGAUGGGAGAAAGAAACGCUAUGCCAGCUGUUAAUAAAAGCUGAAUCUUAAAUACAACCACAAUGAAUAGUCUGGGCAAAUACCAAAACAGCAGAGGGAGAGGGCAGACAGUGAUGAGGCCCUAAGGGUGAUGACCAGGUGGGCAGGAGCCCCAAGUCUGCUGCCAGGGGGACCCCAGCCCAGCUGCUGUGACGGGUGAGCCUUCUGACGCAAAAUUCACUCCUGGAGAAAACAAGCUGCAGCAGGGAGGACAGUGAAGCAAUUAGACUGUUAGUCUCUAUGUUCUGCCUGGCAUUAAGUGGUUAUGACAGAAAAUGAAAACCUUGGUGAUGCUGAGCAGAAGUGACAAAGCCUCUGGUAUCAGCUAAAGGAGCUAUGACUGCUAAAAAAUAUAUAAAAAUAUCUAAACCAAAGCUGAGUGUCUAACAAGUUGUUGCACACUGAAUGUGCAAUUGCAUAGUUUGCUGAUCAGACUGUAAACAUGUCCUGCAAGGUUUGCAAAUGGUUGUGUUGCAGAUCUUGGAAAUCUGAUAUAAAGCAGCAAGGCAGAGGUUUGCAGGAGUGGGAGGCCACCAGGAAUUCCACUGCCAGUGGAGCUCUGUCCUGAUGUUUCCAGUGGUUAACUGUGGGGUUGUGGAGCCUAAAUUUAUUACAUGGAAAUAUUUUGUUCAGCUUUUCCUUCAGAAUAGAUGCCUAUGGAUUGCUGUUUGCGGGUCCAGCCAACAGGCAGAAUAAAUUAAUGCUCAGUUAUAAUGUAUGGGGACUGUGAAGUCGAGGAGAGAGAAACAUAAGUGGUACAGUCUGUCUGCAGGAGUAUUUUCUACAAGGGUUUGUUUCGAUGCCCUGUAGCUGGCAGUCAUCACAGAAUCAUAGAUUCAUUUUGGUUGGAAGAUCGUCACCUGUUAACACAACAAAGAGUGUGGUAUGUAAAAUCCUGAUCUGUACAGGUGUGUAUAUUUUUAUAUAUACAUAUACCAUAAAAUAAAAUAUUAAGUCUAAUUUUCAUCAUGGGUCAGAAAAGAUUUGAUUUCCUCUAACUGGUCUGUGUCACAAAUUUAUUAUUAUUUUAAAUGCUUUUCUCUCAUCUUGCUCACAGCUGUCCAGGGAGUGAUGAUUUCUCUUUGCUGCGGCUUUCAAGGUUUCUAACUGUCUCUGUUUCAUACUGAAACAAAACAAAACAAAGAAGUUUUUUAGUUUUUUGACUGUUUUCAUAAAAAUGGAAACAUCUGGUUUGGGUGUAAAAAUAGGUGCAUUCUCAAUGCAGUGCAUCCAAGAUGGAUGGGUGAAAAUGCUGCCUUAAGAUCUCUUGCUAAUAAUCCUUGAUUAAUGCAGUUAUACUGUUGUUAAAGGCUGUUGCUGGACAGGAUUAAGGAAGAAAGGCCUCUGAGAAGCAGGAUUGGUUGUGAGUUAUCUCCCUGUAUCUUUUAAUCUCUUGUGUGGUACAGCCUGAUGUUUUCAAGUUUUCCUUUUGAAAUGGGGGAUAGAAACAUAUUGCUGCUGUCUGGAACCUUUAAUCUUCAAAUGGAAAUAAGCUUUUCUUGCAGAAGUAGGCUGCUUUUUUUCAGGUGCUUUCAGAAAUGCUGAUGUUGUGCCUUGGUUGAUCUGGCUAAUUAAAAAUGAGCUCAUGUCAAUCAAAAUUGUUACUUUAAUGGCAGUGGCAAAAAUGCAAAGUACAGCUCUAGUGAAUCAGUGUUAGGGAGAAAUGUGCCUCAUUUCCUCUGUCUGAUUCACUCAGGAAGAAUUUAUGUUCUUAUUGUGAGUUGUGAUAUUCAGAGACCUUUCUGUUUGAAAUUUUACCCUUUUAAUCGCUGUUGGCUGCCCAGAUGACCAAUGUGAGUUUAUUCAAAAUAUUUCGUGACUUGCCCAAAGUUUAGGAAUGGCAUUGUGAGGCCUCUCUAUUUCUGCACCAAAUACGUUGGUUGUUGCAGUGAAAGAUAUUCUGAGUAGACUUAGAAGUACAUGCAAGAAAUGCUUAUAAAGAUACCAGGUGGUCCAUGUUUGCAGGUUAUAGGUGUGCAGCGUUAGGGUGGUGUCAGCUCUGGCUAGCAAGCCUGUUUUCAGCAAUGACACAAAUCCAAGCAAACCUGCCUUUAUGUGUGGAAUUUCUUAAAUGUUGGUACAAAGACUUCAGGUAACUUAAUGAUUAAUUAGACUCAAAAUAGCAAAUAUGACUGCCUAGCAGCAAAAAAUAAUUAUAUGCAAAUAAUGAAUUAAUUCAACUGGAGUUAACUCAAAAGACAUCAAAGCAGCUCAAGGAUUUUAAAAAAAAUUUCUUAUCCCCUCCGCCCCCCAAUGCAAGGAGCAAACCCUGACCUUCCUCAGAACAGCACCAUAGAGAGAGUCUCUGAGUCUCCCAUCUUUUCUGUAUUUGCUGACCCCCAGCAUCACUCUUUGUCACUUAAACUGUUCAAUGGCAGUGUCCCCCAAUUCAUGGCAGGGAUUGGACUGGAUGAGCUUUGAAGGUCCCUUCCAACCCUAACAAUUCUAUGAUUCUACCUUUUCCCAAGUGCCUGCUGUAGAAGUCAGUCUUCUCUAUUACUUAACUGUUCUUCAGAUUUAAUUUAACACAAACAUGGUGACACCAAUUUCCUUCAUGAGGUCCUACUUCAUUUAAAAAAAAGGUAGCUGUAACUUCAAGGGUCUAGAGACUCUGCGUCCUGCAAUUAAAGACAGAGAAUUACCUAUCUAUCCAGUUCUCUUCAACACAGAAGAUUUUUCUCAUGCAUAAUAACUUAAAUUGAAGAGCCAGGAUGAGAUUUGUUUAAUAUUUCACUUAUUUCCCUAAAUUCUGCAGUUUCCAUUAUAGUCCAGUCAAAUCCUACUUGCUUGGGGGUGGCAGGUAAAAUACUAUUUUUUUUUUUUUUUCAAAUCUAGGUAAACUUAUGUUUUUUCUUGUUUGAGUGGUAAAUGUAUCCAGCUGUUUUGCAAUGUUACCUGCUUCAGUUAGUUCACUUUCAGUUAGAAAUGAGUGUGUUGGCCUACUUCCAAAAGCAAAAUACAUUUCCCAAGACCUUGUGGAGAUUUUCCUUCCUAUGGAAGCCUGCAUCCUGACAUGUCGGAGGUGAACAAAAUAGACGUUUUAGAGGUAGUUUCAAAUAUUGAAAAUAAUUUCAGGACAUGCAGUGGUUAACAAUAUAUAAAUAAAAUUUUUUAUCCAGCAGAGGCCAAACAACUCUGUAGUAUUAGUAUAAAAAUUUACAAAGGGAUCUCAAAUAUCUGGAUGAUGCUCUUAGUCAUAUGGUUUAGUUUUUAGGUAGUCCUGUGACGAGCAGGGAGUUGGACUUGAUGAUUCUUAGCAGUCCCUUCCAACCUGAGAUAUUCUAUGAUUCGCCCCUUUUCCUCGUAGGAGUUUGCAGGGAUCUGUGAUGAAGAAAAGCUGAUAGAGAUCCUGCACUCAUUUACAGCAGAGCCUCUUGCCUUUCCAAGGUGGAGGCCUCAAAGAAAAGAAUCUGCCUAGGGUAUUCCAGUGCUCUUACACCCCUAAUUACAUUCUCAUGACUUAAUCAUAAGCUGCCUUUUGCUCAGGUCUGCUUGUAACAUCUUUUUUACUUCUGACGCAUGGGCUUUCCCUUUAAUGUAGCAGCUGUUCAGUUUCUGCCAGAGUGAUGGGAUUAAAAUACCCACAGACAAGCGGAGGUUCUUUCAAAUUCCUUUUGAAAUACACCUGGAAAUUGCAAAUUGGGUGCUCAGUUUGACUGCCUGCUCACCCCCGGGAAGAGCACAGGCAUGAGCUCCCUGCACAAACAGGCAAAUGGCACAGAUACGAAAUAGCCUUGGUGUUUAAAGACCUCUGCACUUCACAAUUCACUCCUGAAUUUUUUUUAUAGGCAGUCUCAUGAUAGCAUUUUUCCUUAGGGCUCAAGCUUCCAGUCUCAUGAUCACGCUGCUUUCAUUAAAUAAAAUUGGCCUGAAAGCAUAAGGGCGCUUAACCAGGUGACACAACUGGCUGGAAAACCACAAGACAAAGAUACAUAACCCCCCAUUUUAAACCUUUUUGGCUUGAGAGGCCGCAAUUUCUCUGGAGGAAACCAGGGUGAUAAUUUUGGCGUGCUAUUGGCAACUAUUCAAAGCUGGCUUUUAUUUUUAAGGUGGCACCUGACACCUGUUUUUACCUCUUUGGGAUAUAUUUCAGGGUGGAAAGGACUGUUUUGAAACGUCUUUUUGUUUUGUAUGGCUUUUACAUUUGAAAUAUUGUGUUUUUUCUUAGACUAGAAGAUGUGGAUUUUUAGCCAAGCUGUUUUGAACAUGGCUGUUGAUAUGGGCACUUUGGGGAGAGCGCACCUUGGUUAAAGAUCCCUCACUACCAGUGAAGGUGCAAUGAGCCUUUUGUAUUUUUCUGGUCAUAUCUCCAACUUGUAUGUGAUGAAGUAACUUUCCAUUUGGAUGAUGUGAACGCACGACUCACAAAUUAAAAUCUUGAGCAUCCUCCCUUCUUUGUUCCUUCCCAGGCUUGAUUUUUUUCAUAGUGAGAAGAAAAAAGAAUGCGUGAAAGUGGGCAAGAAAACAAACCAGCUCUGCCUAUAACAGCUCAAUGCUAGGAUGAAAAAUGCAUAAUAUAAGCACUCUUUAUUUCCCAGAGGUCCUGCAGCAAAGCUGAGAAAGAUCUGCCUUACCUUUCUAAGGAAAAAACCAAGAUUUACUGAAACACUGAAGAAUUUUUUUUUGUUAAAAAAAGAAUUUGAAUUGAGUUACAAAAAACAUAAUAUACAGGUUACCUUGAUCACCUGUUUAAUGAAAACUAAAGCAAAUCUGUGGACAAAGUAAAAGGCCAAGGUCUAGCCGAAACUUGGCAAUGAGUUUGGGAACUGGAAAACCUUGAGAACUGUAUAUUUGGAUCAUGCUGUCAUCCAGUGAUGAAAAAUCUCCAGAGUCACCUUCUCGACCCUUUGCUGUGUGUGAUACAUUUGUCAUUCUAGUGCAUGUUGUGACUUCACCUGGCUCAGAUUUAUGCAGAUAUAAACAUUAUAAUGAACAGGAAUUAGGCUGCAUCUGGCCGGCUGCCAGGGAGCUCACCGAUUGCUGGGGAGACGCCAGCCUUUAUGAAAAAAAGGAGUAUUCUUUCAAAUCACAAAAAUUAGCUUUGAUUGAGGGGAGAAUUAUGAAUAGCUGCAGUGCCUGCCACGGCCAAAUAAGUUUAUUCUGAAAUUGUUGCUUGGAUUGGCAAACCGCUCGACCAUUAGUUGAGAUUUUUUGGGCUUCAUUUUUCUGGGGUGUAGAGUGCUGCUGGUUGUGAACUGUGGAGCAAAUCCUUGUGGUCUGGAGGUUGUCUGUAAAUAUUCUAUAUUUCCUUGAGCUUCUCCCCUUCCCCACGUGUGAUAGUUUCUGCUGGGCUCAAUUUGCCCUCCUGUGGCUGAUGGCAGAUGUUCAAGAGGUCUGAUGGAUCCCUGUCAUCUGUGUCUUCUGGGGCUGGAGUCACCCACAGUUAUAUUCAUAAUUAUAUUAAUACCUUUCUUCUACUCAAAACAGCUCCUUGAUAGUUGUGCUCAGUAUUCAGUACUUUUAAGGGUAAACACCAAUGUCUUAUCAUUUAAUGAAGAGCUGUAAAGUCAUGAUUGGAAUUGUCAAUAUUAUUCUGAACGUAUCAAACUGGAGUAGAUAAUAGAUAUAAUUGGUUUAGGAUUUGUUUACUCACCCUGAAAUACAACCAAAUUCUUGUGAAGAGAAACCCACUGCCAGUUCUUCUUUCUCUGAGCCCAAAUGACUAUAACUUCAGACAGAAGAAUUCACAGAAACAAAAGCUUCCUUGGUAAGAGAUGAAGCAUUCAAAGUCACUUCUUGAAAUGUGUAUAAUUCUACCCUAAAAUAAUGUUAAUACUACUUCAGACACCUGUUGAUGUUGAUGUUGCCAAUUUGUUUUCAGUAGGUAAUAAAAUAUAUUAACAGGCUUAAGACUGGAAAACUGCUCAGUGAGUUGUUGCCUUCUUGGAGGCUACAGAGAUGAGUUGUGUCAGCAGGUAGGAUUUUUAAUGUGAAGAUAAGUAAAAUCUCAUGGUUUAAUGGUGAUGAAGAGAAAAUUACUGAAAUAAGGCAAGCUUAUGAUCUUUGCAUUUGACCCAACUGGGCUCAGCAGGUACUUGUUGGCUGUGUCUCCAGUUUCAGCUUGGUUCAAGGAUAUCAUUGGGAUAUUUCGAUUUCUAGGUGGGGGAACGAGAGGUCAGCAUGAACACAUAUAAAAUAAACCUUUAUUAAGAAAUAUGGUUUUAAAAUACUGUAAAUGGAUUAGUAAUUAACUGUUAUUUCAUUUAAGAUAGAUGAAAACUAAACAGCUUAGGUAAGGUAAGGGUUCUUAUUCUCUGGUAUGCCUGUAGUUCCCUGUAAAUCUCUUAACUGUAGGGUUUGUGGAGAGAAAAAAGUUAACAAUAAAGGAGAGCAAACUUCAAGCUGUAUGAAUUGCAACACUUUAAAAUAAAUGAAAGCAACCACUUAAGAUAAAUGCAAUAGACUAAAGAAAGCCAACUGGUAAUGUGAGGAAAAGCAGUUAUUAAAGCAAGUAGGAGCUCUUCCUUUCCCUGCUGUGCAAACGCUGCUACCCUGGGUAAGCUGAUUUAAUUUGGUGCCACCUGCUCGUUUCUCUGGCUGCGGUGCCAGCCAAGGGUGACUGUUUUCCAGGCAGAAGUCUGCUUUGUAGAGAUCUGAAGUUAGGUGAGAGUAAUCCCACCACAUAUGUCAUAUGUAUUAGAGUAAGAUUUUUAGUGGAUCCUUUUCUCCUAUUUCUGAGCUCUAAUUACUGUUGCAAGCAUCUGCUAUUGGUGAUGCAUCCUUCUGAAAAAAUGUGUUCUUGCAGUUCGCUGGGGAUGAAUUCUGAGAAAAGUUGGGAAUUUCUGUUCAAAACUUACCCAAAAUCAGGUGUUUGAUGUAUUUUGCGUGAAGUACUCAGAAUUUGGGGGUAAAAGCUAUUUUUUCCUGUUCUACUGUCAUUGUAGGUAAUCACUUUUUGUCCCUCCUACAGAUACAAUGUACUUGUUCUAUUGUUCAGCUCUGAAAAAAAUGGUCAUUAUAACUUCCUUGAGAGUGACAGUAACAAAAUCUCUCCAUUUAACGCUCUUCCAUAGAGAGAAUGCUGGGGCUUCUGCACCAUAUGGCUUUUUCAGCCAAGAAGUCCAGAUGCGGUAACUGGUGCAUUCAAAUGGUGAAGAAGCAGUUUCUUGGCUGUGGCAAUAAUGAUUGCACACGGCUUAACUGAAGAUGGGUGCUGUUCAUGGGAAGAUACGUCCCUGCCUGUAGCCAUGAGAUUUCCAAAGCAGGACUGGGACCCGAAUGUGAUUAUAAAGUUUCCAAAUGCAGUAUUUCAGCUGAUACCUAAGGACUGCUGGGUUUGCUGCUGCUGUUACUCCACGGGGAUUACUUACAGUUACCACAUUUUAUGAUCUCUAUUUGGGAAGAAAACUACCAAACCCUGGUCUGACCACCAUUUUGUCUUCUAACCUGAAAAAGCUGGUGCAAAAGAAAACAAGCUGCCUCUGCUUUGUCUCCUGUUUUCCUGGGGUCUCAGUGACAGAAAUCUGCUCCUUCAGUGGCAUGAGGCUACGGGCUUGUGUUCCUGAUCUGCAUCGGCUUGGGAUUGCUUAAGUUGAUCUCCAACCCUCCCACCACAGCAACGUAUCUUCCAGUGAGAGAUGGGAAUACGAUCAAUUAAAUCCUUCUAAAAGCCAUGAAGAACAGACUUGCUGCCCAAAGGUACCAGCUCGGUGACAGGCAGUGGAUUUUCUUUAGCACUUGUUCUAUGGCAUUUGCUUGGGGUUUAUAUACUUCAGGACCUGGUAUUAAGGAAAGGCUGAGAGGUUUAAAUAGGCCUUAAGUUUGCAAUACUGCUUAGUGUUGGGAAACAAGCAGAGACAACCCUUCACUGUUGGGAUGCUGCUUUAUGAAAGAUAUAGAACCUUUCUUGGUGGGUUUUACUGUUACUUUGAUCCAAUGCCUUCAAAUCACUGCCACUAGGCAGCAGUAAUGGGGAUCCCUAGAACAUGCAACAUUAACUGGCCAGCAUCUUUCCUCUACAUUACAUCAUUUUGAAAUGCUAAAAUUUGGGUUCUUAGUAGGAAAACAUUAUAUUUGCAACAGCAAGGCCUUAAUUCUCACACUCACAGGUAGCAGAGAUGCCACAAAGUUGUUUUCCCCCAAGCCAAGCUAGUGCAGCCUCCCCACGGGAGAUGUUCAAGGUCUAGGUCUAAACCUGGAGACAGUUGUUAGCAAUAAUUGGACUUACGGUAACAGAGCUUAAAUUAGAAGUGCAGAGAACAUGUGUCUUUUAAUUUACCCAGUCCCUGGACUAAUUUCCACAUUUUUUCUGGGGUGGAAACCACCAAGCUCGGUACACACUGCGGCUCCUCCUCUUCUGGCUUGGACAGUAAUUUUGGGAGAACAAUAAGCAGAAAGGUGGGGGCUUCCUUUCUGGGGGAAGCGUCUGUGCACUAAACAGGCAUGCCACCUUUUAAAAAUCAAGUACUAAUCUGUUGUUUUGGGUUUGUUUAAAUAGAAAAAACCCCAGCAACCCAAGGAGCAGAGUUAAUGCCUGACAGCUGUAACUCCCAGCAGAGUAGUUUAGCCUCAGGAGCUGGUGAUGUGCCCAACCUGUUCUCUCUCCUUUCUUCCCUCAGUACAUUGUGGAGGUCUGUCUUUUUUUUUUUUUUUUUUUAAUAUCUAUAUAUAUCUAUAUGUAUCUAUAUAUCUGUCUUUUAAAGAUGAAAAGGUCACGUCCCGUGUUUAGUUAAAGCUCACUCUGUGUUCUGUCCAGACCAUUGCUUAAAAAGGGGAAAAUAUGCAAACUGCUGCUAUCACUGGGCAGACUCCCAGGAAGAUGAGUUUUUAGCUUGAGCUUUGAGCUGAAUUUUUAGCUUAUCCCUUGAAUGGGCCAGAGCAGCCUGCGGAGCAAAGCGGGAUGUGAGGCUUAGUGCGACAGGGAGCGGCAUUGCUGCCCUUCUCCAACUUCUGAAGGUGGUGCCAGGGUGGUUUUAGAGGCACUGCUAAGAGUUAGAAAUACAGGUUCUUUCCUCAAGUUUGCUAAGAGUUUGCUUGAAGAGGGACCUUUCUUCAAGUUUGCUUAAAAACAAAACCAAACAAAUCAGCAAAACAACUCUUUCCUCACAUGUGCUAAGGGUUAGUAAAAGGUGGCUCUUGCGGAGAAUAAAAGGUUGUACUUUUCCCACAUUUGCCAAGAAUUAGAAGGUGGCUCUUUCCCCAAGUUACUACGAGUUAGCAAAACAAGGUCUCUGUUCUCAGGCUUGCUGAGAGUUAGUAAAAGACAGCUCUUUCUCCAAGUUUGCCAAGAGUAAAAGAGGGCUCCUUCCUCAAAAAAGUUUUGAAGAAAGUUCUUCUCUGAAGUUUGCUAAGUUGCCAAAAAGAAGUCUCUUUCUCACAAUUUGCUAGAAGUUAGUAAAAAGCUCUUUUUCCAAGUUUGCUAAGAGUUGGUAAAAGGCUCUUUGCUAAGAAUAAUAUUUGCCAGGAGUUAGAAGUGGGUUCUUCCCUCAAGUUUAGGAGUAAGCUCAGGGGGUGUGGGAGCCUGGGUAGGGGGGAUGUGGGGUGCAAGGGUGGUGUUGGGGCCUCUCACCUGGAAGAUGAGCACCUUGAAGCGAUCCCGCCGGAGCAGCUGGGCGUGAUGCUGCUCCAGGCGUCGCACCUGGUCGCAUUGCCUCUCCAGCCGCUCCCGGACGGCGCGGGUGUGAGCGCAAACCUUCCGCGACUUCUCCAGCAGCUUCUCCACCGCUUCCCCCGUCGCCCCGUGACUUCUGCACAGUUUCCCCAAAUCCCCCUGAAUACCCCGCACCGCCCCUUCUAAACCCCGUUGCCUUUGCUCCAUCUGUCUCUGCUGCCCUUCCACCGCUUCCAACAUCGAGACCAGUUUCUCCAGUAAAGCCAAAACGGUCAAAGCGUUCACUUGCCCCCCGACCGCCUCCGACGGUGGGAGCGGAGGGACCGCGCUGCCUCCCGCCGCCUCCCCCAUGGCUGCGCCGGGAUGGGGACGGCGGAUGCCGGGGCCGCUCUUAAGGGCUAAGCCUUCCCCUUCCCUGGGGGAGGUUUUAAGCUGAGCUUUCCUCCUCCCCCGGGGGAGGUUUUGAGUCUGAGCUCAGCCCCGGUCCCGGCCCGCCCCGGGCGGCUUCCAGCCGCCCGGGGCCGGGCUCUCGGUGCCUCCUCCCCAUCCCACGUCCCCCUCCCUUUCGUUUUAAAACUAAAGGGUGUAUUCUCACCCCACACUUAGCAAAAUGCAGAAUUGGCCUCUCCUCGCAAGCAUCAGCUGCAACUUCUCUUCCUCAAGUUGCAAGAGCUUGAAAAAUGCGUUUGCCCUGGUCUGGUCAUGGUCCUGGCUGCUGGACAAGCUGGCUUUCCAGCCUGUCUCUGGUUUGCACUUUGGAGCCUGUCUUCCUGAACCUUUCUGCAUCAACCUUCUACUAUGUGUGGUACAUUUGCAUGGUGGAGAAGAUCUACAUAAUCACUCUCCUGACUCCUCUUGUGGGCCUUCUGCAAAGGUUCUUUUUUCAAGGAAAGUUUAAGAGAGCAGCUUUCUUGGAAAGGAUGAGGAUGGUCUGCAAAGAGUGGCAGAGUAUUCUCAUGUUGCUCCAUGGAGACUGCUCGAGGUCACCACUAGCAUGCCCGUGUUAAGGCAGGGGAAGAAAGAAGGAGAAAAAGACCUAAACACAAACCCCAGACUUCAAGCAUAUGGGUUUGGACCCAGAUUACCCAUUACUGCAGCCGUCAUCCCAGUGUUCUCCAGUUGGAAGCAGAAGGAUGUUGUGCUGAUGGGGCUUGGUCUAAGCUCGGUUGUACGGAAGCAGCGCCAGUUCCGCCGCAGGUGUUCUCAGGAAGAGAAUUCGGGUUUGGGGUGGUCUGGAAGAACCAUUCCUGAGCGGCACCGUGACCCCCUCCCUCCCUUCGCCCCGUUCUCCAUUCCGCUGAGUGCUUUGCUCAUGACUCAGCUUGCUGCUCCGGGACAUCGUUAUUGCAUUCUUUCUCAAUUAAUGAAGAAAAAAAAGUAAUUUCCUUUUUCUCCAAAUCUAAAUAAAAAGUAAAUUCAAGUUUUUGUAAGGAGAGGAGUUACCAUCAAGCCAACACUAUUUAUCAACAAAGCACCCAGAACAGAAAGUUGCAUGACAGUACAAUGACUGCAAACAUUUAAUGAAGUAUCCAUUUCAACUUUACACAUCAAAAUUAUUGUGAAACAUCACACUGGCAUGAAAAUACAAAAUUUUCUACCUCAGAGUUUAAUAUUCUCCAUUUCAUCCAAAGAGAAUUUUCAACACAGGAACAAAACCAGUGUAGCUUUGCUUCCAAUGUCCUACCGCUCCGCUUCAGAAGGGUUGAUGGUUCCUGCUUCUCAGACGCGCUCUUCAUACCCACUGGAUGCUUAGAUUCCUGCAAAAAAGAAUAUCCAUCUGUAACAGCUGGUGAUAUUUGGUAGCACUUAUAUACACAGAUAAUAUUAAGCGUUCUCGUGAGGCUGCCUUGUCCUCUAUAAGAAACGAGCCACAAAUAUCCAGAGUUUUCCCCUGGCCUUCCAGCACUCCAUUUCCCCCUUGUUUCAGAUCUGUGUGAAAGAAAAUCUCUCAUUAUCCAUCCUUAUUCUGGGGCAAUUUUCUAUUCUCACUCUUCGUAAAAUGUGAAUUAGCAGCCUAUUGCUGUAUUUUACACUCUUUGCUUUUUCCUGGCUUAAUAAGAAACACGGGUCCUGAAACCUGCGUUGUGUCCCUAACACACAUUAGUACAAAGGGUAUCAUAACUCAAGAUAGAUUUUUUUUAAUUUUUACUACAUCUACUGAACUACCAUAAUUACCACUGACACAAUCUGCAGUAAAUGAAAUAAAAACAUCUAAAAUAAGCUAAAUACAUGUCUGGCCACAGAUGCUCAAGUAGAUACUCAGAAUUCUUUAAGAAAUGGCUCAUUUCUAAAGCCAAAUGGUAUAUCCUGGACCAUAUAAGAGAUCAGGGAUAAUCAGUAUCCAGCACACAUUCAGGUCUCUUUUGAACAUUAGAUAUAUCCCAGAGGAUAUUUAAGGUGAAUUUCCAGCUACUAAAUAAUUAAAUAUGGUUUCUUUAGGCCGCUCUGAAAAGGCAGAGGCUUCAUUUGGCAACAGCAUUUUCAGAGAGAAAAUUGGAAUGUUGCUUCACCCCUGUUUUGCAGCUCCCAAAUCACAGACUCAGCAGAAGCUGUGGCCGACAUCCGUGUACAUCGAGCAGUUCAGGAGACGCUUAUUUACAGAUGACCCUUUUUUAAAAACUUUUCUCUUUUUGGACCUUUCCACAGGGCAGAUUACAGUCUCUUCAUUACAGCCUUAAGGCCUACAGCUUCACAAGCCAAGCAAGUAACCCCACUAUAAAACUAGCUGUUAUUAUGUCUGUACUCCCAUUAGUUAUGUGCAAUUCUCUCACCCCUGUGAUUUUUCUCAAAAAGAGUUUAGAGGGGAAACGACUCUGCAAGUUUUAGACUGCAGAGGAUUCAAAACCUUUUUGACUCCAAGGAAAUGUGCAGACAGAUGGACAAUCCGGCCAAACUCUUUGCUGUCUAUCAAAACUGCAGACACUGACCUCUGUAAACACCUUGCAAACAGCCAUACACCUAUUAAAAAAAUAGAUGGGCAGGCCUGGCCGAGGCAUGGUGCCAACUUUGAAGUGCGGUAAUGAACUUUGCUUUUAAUUCAGGCGUGUAACUUCCAGCCCAGCGCAAAACUGGGAGCAGCUGCAUGCAUAAUAAGGGGUGAGAGCAAGAAUGCGGCGCAAGAUGCGUCUGAUGUUGGAUGAGAGCGAAGAUAGCCUUUAAUCAUUUUGUUUUCAAAGAAACUUGAGAGAACUCUUUGAAGAUGAGUUUUUUUUUUCCUUUUCCCUUUUUUUUUAUUUUUUGAGAGCUGCUUCUGGAAAAUAGGCGGCAGUGAUACACGGUACCCACCUUCUGCCCACGUCCGUCCGCCCCCUUGGUUAACCCGCGCGUGGGACAUACACACGUGUCCCUCUAGACUGGCACCUGAUGUUGGCAAAGCUGAGCUUAUCUUGUGCUGCCCAGGCAGCUGAGAUGCCCAAUGGCUCCAGCAGCAAGGACAAAACUGCCGCAGUGUCUUUUCAUUUGAAGUAAUCGUGGUUCUUCAGUGCACAGGGGAAUAGGAUGUCCAGUAGCUAGAACAGGAUGUCCAGUCUCUAUUAACUAUAGUAUUUUUGUAAUGAUAAAUGUUCUGUAAAUCAUGUCUUACUAUUAUUGGAUGAAAAGGAACAAUAAUGAAUAUUUGAUCAGCCUUUAUUUUAAGGAAAGUGUGGGCUGAGAUUGGGCACAGUGGACUUGUUCACCUGCACCUGAAGACUCUGAGGGGCUGAACAUCAUCUGGACAUCAGCACUGAGUAUAUGCCAAUGGCUUUGAGGACCAAGGAACAAAUGCUACACUUGUCCUCCAGCCAGGCAGUGCAACACAGGGACUGAAAUAUAGCAGAGAUUUUAUUUCUACAGUGCUAUGAUGCCUGGCUUCUAUUUUUUUAGUAUAUUAAAAAGAAAUUAAUUUAAAAAAGAGUGAUGUGAUUUAUCAGUGUUGCUAACUGAAUAAAUUUAACCUUGUGAUUUCUGAGGGAAGACUGCAGACAUCCUGAAUUCAGAACUUACACCAAGCCCUCCCAGAGAGGAGGAAGCAGAGCAGCAGGUGUAGGAGGGGAAGGACUGCAUUUACCCCUUUGGUUCUGAACUACCUUGGGGCUGUCCCUUCCAUGCAAACAAGCCCUUCUCCCUCAAUUAAAGAAAAAAAGAAAUAAAUACUAUAUGGAUUGGAGUGCCACCAUCUAGUGAAGACCAUAAUUGGCCCCCCCAAAAGAGCACUGGUGCCUCCUUCUCAGAGGGAAAAUUUCAGGUCCUCAGCACCACCAAGGUCUGCGAGAGUGAAUGACACUGUGGAAGUGCCAGGAGGUGCCAAGAGGACUGGGACUUAUCUAUUACAGCAUCAAGUGGAACUACUUGCACGUUGUGGUGAAGGGAUCAUUAAACCAGCAACACAGGAUAAGGUGAAAUGAUGGAAAGAACACAUUUUAUAAAAGAAAGGAAAAUCAGAAGAAAAAAGAUGUAGAAGAUGUUGUUUAUAAGAGGGGGUUUGCACCUUGAAACAGGUAGGUCAAUGUAGAUUCAAAGCCUUGCAAGGUUUUCUGUCGUCCUGUUGCAUAUCUAAUUCCUGGCAAGUAGCAGCAAAUGAGGCACCAAAAAAAGAAUUUGUCUGUUCAAAAACUGAUUACAGAAUAGCACAUAAAAAUGCCUGAUCAUUUCCGCUAUCCUUCUCGAUGGUCUCCUCACUCCCAGGCAAGACUAGGACAAAGAAACUAGGCAUUUGCAUGUAAUCUACCAUCACAAUUAUAUGUGGUUAUUCAAUACAACAUGUUCAGAAAGACAAUUUUAUGGCUGAAGCAGAGGAGCAGGAGACCAGAGCUGAAGAUUAGCAGCAGUGCUGAACGCCUGUGUCCCAGUGCCUGCUGGCCUCCUCCCCAUCCCACAGCACGGGUACCUUCAGACUAUUAUAAUUUGACUUUCGGUGCUACUUCUGCAGCUGUUAAACAGUCACUGAGACCUGAAUCCUGGAAAAUACUUCCUUCCACGUGGCCAGGAAAACGGGGGUUUUGUUAGGUUUCGAAACAGGUAUGUGCUCGACUUUUAUAUCACAGGCUGAAAUGCAGAACAUUACUUGUGAUAAACUCACACAAAUUUUGUAGGCCACCAAUGUGUUAAUUCAUCUCGGUAAUUUUGGCGAAUUCUUCCAUUUAACCAAUACUUAUGAUAUCUCAAAUUAUAAAAAUCCUUUUUCUGUGAUAGCAUUAUCAAGGCACAAUUAAUUAAAAACAGAAGACAAAAAUCUCAUGAUAGAUGGCUGAGGAAACGUAGUUUGCACACAAAUAAGUUGAAGCAUUUGUACCUUCCAAAGGAAGUCCCUGAGCAUUAUGAAACAACUGCAGUUUGUGUUCUGUCUCCAAGCCAGUCGUGCCGGCAGCAGGUACGCUUAGGUAUUAUCCCACCUUUGGGAAAAAGUGUGUGCGCAGCAGCUCCAAGAUUGAAAUUUUCAUAAUGAUUUCCUUCCUAUCGCUGCUGUCCAAGGAGAGUUUCAAGAGUCUCCAACAACUUGCACUAAUAAUGUUGGUUAUAUUAUCUUUAGUUUAAAACAGACAAAGACAAGCUCCCAGCAAAUGAGAAAGACAGGACAACCUCUAACUACAUAUACACAAGAGUUACCAUCCCACCAGAUCUUCAAGUAUGUUCCUUUUUUCCACCAGGAAUUCUUCCCAGAACAGAAAAAAUGUGUGUGACGUCUGCCAGCUACCAGUGGGCUUGCCCAGGGCACCCAGGUAGAUCCUGAUGUGCUCGGGAUUUGUUGCACUUCGUACACGCGCAGUGAUCAUCUGUGAGCCAUGCCCAGUGGCUCCUGGGCAUGCUGGACCUCUGCUAUGGUCCAAGAAACUGCAGCAAGAAAUAUGGGAUCCUUAUUAAUACGAAUUUUUUUUUUCCCUAUGGUGGAAAAUACUCUGCCAUUUCCUCCAAAACUUCCAUUACCAAGAGGAAGUUUUCUUGGUGUGUGUAUCUUCUUCUCAGGUAUCAAGACAUCUCUGCGAUGUCUGCGCACCACCACCCCCCAGCAUGAGAAUCCCUCCUCUCUCAGAUGAGCCAUCAGUGUUUCUAAAAUGGUAAGAUACCAUUUGGUGUCUUUUUUAUAAAGGCGUGCUUCAAGAUGGUGAGGAAAAUUGUUACCUUCUGGACAGACUAAUCCACUAGGACUUGCAAGGGGGACAAGGACCUCUCCCAGACUUGCAGAUGCUCUUGCUGUGUGUAGGCUGUAGGGCUGGUAAAAAGAGGAAUGAUUUUUUCCUCCUCCUGCAAUCGUGUGGGUAGAAACCAUGUUUGCUUCAAAAAGGUCUCCAGCAUACUUUAAAGGAUCCUGCAGAACUUGUAAUUACACUUCUAAGUGCGAUGUUAUGAUGAAAAGUGCUUUACUGAAUCAAAAAUGAGAUGGCCCAACCUUUGCAAGCACUUCAUAGGGGAAACAUCAUCUGGCUUGGAAGAAACCACAGAACUUAGACAAGGAAUUGUCUGUAGUCACUCACUUUGACUGAUGACUCCUCUAAAAGAGUCAGGGAUUGAGCAUAAAGGCAGAAAGGGGGAAAAACCUUGUGUUUAGUUCAAUUUGUCGUUUUAAAGACAGACCACAAUGAAAGCAUCAUUUACUUCAGGCACAUUUUGAAUCCACCCAAAAGAAUUCCGCUGCCUCGAAACAGAUUAGUUUUCUCAUUGCACAAAACAUCUUUUCAGAUUCAAAACAGAAACCCAAACACCAAGAUGUGCUUUAAAAUUUCCUCAAGUUAAAACUGACUGCUCUCAUUCCUGAAGGAUCUGAGCACUUUUCAGUAAUCCAGCCAUCGGUGAGAUAGGGUCAUGAAUGCACCCCAGGGCUUACAUCACUCUGAAACAAGAACUAUAAAUCUUUUCUAAAAAGAGAGGAUAUGAAUAAAAAAACAUGUUUAAAUUAUGAAUGAAAUAAGAACUGUACAAAGUUCAACAAAGUAAAACCAAAUGAAAUUAAGACUUUCCUCCUAUUGUAUUUUUUGAUUAUUUAUAAAUUAAAUAGUGGAGACAAUUGUCACUAAUCGAUUUAUACUAACACCAAACUAGGGAGCCCCUCUACCACACCAACCUUAUAUAUAAACAAAACAAAGCUUAAAUACAAAGUCACUAACUUUUUUACAAGCACAGGAGACUCGUAUUCAUAGAGCAAAAAUACAGACCGAAUUCCAAGACAGUCAGGAUUUGGUUAAGUUAAAUUCAGUAACUCCUCUUUGAACAUUAGACUUGCUGCACUGUUAUUGGCAACUAUGUGUGAGAGUUUUAUUUGCACCAAAAAGAAAGGUUUGUACCUUUUUGUGGUGGCUAGAAUUUGAGACAGAAGCUGUAAAAACUAAAGAUUAAAAUUAGACUAACUGGGUCAGUCUCUCCUAUCUCUGGAGAAAUGCAAUUCCUGCUGCAUUUCUCCAAAUGCUUCUCCUUUUUAUUGUAAAAAGAAAUACACCCUCACCCUUCAGAUCAACUGUAUCCUUUUAUCUUGAAGCAUUUUUCUGAUAGAAAAACGUCACUUUGAUGAAGCCGACAUCUUUUGCAUUUCUGCAAGAUUUUUUGCAUCUUUAGCCUAACAUGACAUUUCAUACUGUUCACAUCUUUUGUUAGUGCCAGAACAUGACAUGAUAGCCUAUCAUAUAAGAUACACUAGUCAAAACAGAUUAUUUUUAAAUGCAUUGAGGCCAGAUGCUACUUUGUGUAGACUGAAACAGCUUAUCGUCUUGCUUACUAGAAGACUCAGAGUUGAACACUUGCUCUCCAGCCUUUCAGUGAGACGCUGAGACGAUGAGCUAUUUCACUGAAGUAAGAAAUUGGAUACUGAAAAUCAUCCAGUGUGACUGACCACCCACUCAGGGAUCGUGCUUUUCCUGAUGCACUAUCUUCUGACAUGUUAAAUCAAUUAUUUAAAACUAUCUUGUCUAAAUUCCUUAAUAUCUAUGGCUGUUCCUAUCCUCCCUUAAGAAGCAGUGGAAGAAGUAUAUUUUGUAUUCUUUUAAUUUCUGGUUUAGUGACAUGUCUUUCCUUCAGUUUUUGGGUGCUGAAUGUGCACCAUUAGAAAUCUCAGGUAAAUAUCUCAGUGAAGGCUGAAAUUCCAAAGCCGAAACAGGACCUGACUCUGCAAGCGAUGCAAACGGAUUCUUCUCUGGGCAGCCCUCACCGGUCCCCAGCUCCCAUCAGAGCGAGUGCGGAGCUUCUGGAACACAACUGAACAUGUGGAGUAGCUCUGCUGACAAACAAGUAAAUUCAUUAGUGCCCUUGAUGAGGAUUAUAUGAAGUACUGCCUGGAGUGCCCAGAAAAUUCUUUCCAGACAUAAGUUCCUGCAGUCUCCUCUGGGGAAAUUAGAUGAAAAUCUAGGCAAAAUUAGGAUUCUUAUGUCCAAAAAAUUGACUGCCAGGCACUUAACCAUCAGUUCUGUUGGGCUGAUAAUUCUGUUGUUCUUUAUGUUUGAAGCAGUGAGACUUUGUAGGUGCUUUCAGGCAAGCAAAGCAGAGGGUCACAACCUGUAAAUUUGCAUGUUUACAUUUUCACUGUUGUACAGUGUGCAAUGUUGGAGCUUAUGGAAAUAAUAACUGCCCAUAUGAGAAAAUAUUGGCUAACGUACACUGUUAAUACCUUGUGUACAUCAUGAUGGACUGAGGGAGGUCCUGCAAAUACAUAUAUAUACACAUAUAUUUCAUCAAAUAAGGGAUGGGAUGGUGAGCGAUGCGCAGCAAAAGCUAUUUUGACACCUGUCUCAUUGGAAACAGUGGUUAAGGAGAAUUGACUUGGAUCAUAAUUUAAUCUUUUACACCACUGAGGUCAGUCAACUUUGCAGCUGAAAGCUCUCACUAAUAUUGAGGUAGUGACUCCUUACACAUCACAUUUUCCGAGGUUUUCUGAAGGAGGAAAGGCAUUCUUGGGUCAAACGUAUUUCCUUAACCUUCUCAACCCCUUUUGGAAAUGUGUCCUCCUCACUCCUUGCACCUCCUUGGCAGCUGUCCCAAAGAGCUCCUGCAGAGCAUCGCAUUGGGAACUUAACAAAGCUCUUCUGCGUGAUAGACUCUUGGUGCAGCAAUUCUCAUCUGAAAUCAAAAUAAAGGUCCAGAAGGUAUCAACCUGUGCAGCAAAGGUAGAGGAUGCCCUGAAGUUUUGUGGAUGACCAGGGGUGGAAAUCUGAGUCCUGUGGAUGACCCUAGGCAGAGUCUGCUUUCCUCGUCUGUGGUCUUCACAGGGUCAGCAACUGCUGCUCCUUUGGGGAAAAGAGAGCUUCCUCAGCACAGCAACGUUUGCAACAUCUGCAGAGGUUUUAAAGUCCCUUUGCAAAGUCAGGAGGAAUGGGGUGGUCAGAGUGUUGCUCCCCCUGAAAGUGCAGAAUUGCUUCAGCAGGUUUUCCGGUACUUACUCUUCUCUAAUAGCAUCUAACAAGAAUUGAGGUGCCACAGCAACUUCUGAGGAUGAAGCCCUUCGGCAGGCUUUCUGCUUACUCAUAAUGAAGAGUAAGUCUUUGCUCAAAUGCUCCAGACACCCUCGACAAAGUUGCUGUCCACCACCACAGCCAUACCUCACCAUUAACAGGUGCUCAGAUAUGUCCUAUUAAUUAUCUUGGCACAGCAUGUUCUCUUUGAAAACCUUUAAAACCUUGCUCUUGAUCUUACGAAUAUAGAGUGUCUCUUUCCAAUGAAGAAAAUGUGCAAAAGGCAACUCGCCUGAACAUCCCUGUUGGGGUGGGUGUUGGAGUGGGACCUCAGCAGGAAGAGCUUGGAGCCCACCAGCCCAACGAGUGAGUGGAAGCGAGACACCAAAUGUCAGCUGAAAACGUCUGGCACCACCAUCCUGCAGCCCCAGGCUAAAUUCAUCCCACGGCCACACCAAGUACAAACUUCAAGCUCAUCUUUCUAUAUAAACUGCACCAAAAAAAAUACCAUCCCAAUAUUAGCUACUUCACCAAGAGAAAAAAAAUGAAACAGAACUUUGUGAAUUAAAUUACGUUCACUUCUUUUCUCAGGCGCAAAAUAGGCUUGCUCAACACAGUAAUUUAUUAAUUUCAAAUGUCCCUAUGCAAAUGAGUUUCCUGGAAUAAGAUGACACCCACUUUCCUUUUUUUAAAAAUAAUCUAGUGCUUUUCAUGUUUGAGAUGAUGGCAAGAUGUCCUUGUGCAUUUGGAAAAAAAAUAUUGUGCUCUGUCUUUUGCAGCAAUGUAUCGUAAUUAUUCAGCCUGCUGCCAUUAUUAAUAAUAGAAACCAAUGAAUUAAGACACUAAUAAUCCCCAGAUGUUCAAAUGGAGAAAAAAAUACUUUCAGCUUGUCAGCAUAUAUAUGUGGGCUAUGCUAUAUAUGUUAAAACUAUCUCUGAACUUUUGAAAUAGAGACCUACUUUCAUUUACAACAUCUAUGGACAUAUCUUCCUUAUUUGAGAAAACUGCUUGAAAUUAGACAACUUGGUAAUCAUUUUCCUGCACAUAACAAGACCAUUUGUCUACACAAAACUAAAUGUAGUUUGGUUUUUUUUAACCCUCAUUUGCUUUUCCUUUGGCCAUAUUCCACCUGUAUUCACUGGCACAGAUGCUACCAGGUAGCUACUGCAAUACAAAGUAAAAUACAACCCCAAAACAGCACAGAGAUACAAGUACACACCAGCACCAAUUGCUCAUGCAUCUGAACAUGAAAGCCCGGCAAUAUUAGCCAGGCUGAAAAAGAAAAUAAAUGCCAUGUGGGCUAAAGUCUUGCUUCAA